Long non-coding RNA from Lepidothrix coronata (blue-crowned manakin), 1591 nucleotides. RefSeq lists it as uncharacterized. The transcript is spliced from 3 exons. Lineage: Eukaryota; Metazoa; Chordata; Aves; Passeriformes; Pipridae. The record is from RefSeq and is a predicted model, not a curated record.
CGAGGUUUGGAGACAGCAGACUCCUGCAACUGGUCUCGCUCCUGUGGGGGAGCUGAGGCCUGGCCGGGCCUACGGGGCCUGUUGUUUCUGCCGAUCCAGGGUCCAGUAGCGUGGCCGUGGCCUUUGGGCGAUUGUGCUAUCUCAAGGAAAGUAUUAAACUCUGUUGGGUUGAGAAACUUGGCAUGAUGCACUGCAAAUAGUUACUGACAACACAAAGAUCCAACCAGACUGUAAGGAAAAACAUAAAAAAAACCAACAGACUUGAAUAUAACAUAAGAGUGUUUUUUGUCCCAGACAACAUAAAAUUAUAUGCCAUUUAUAGAUUAAAAAAAACCCAAAAACCUAAAAAAUGUCCUUUACAGCAGGGUCAAUUUCUAGCCUGCUGUGAGUUAAAUUAAAUCACUGUCUCUGGUUAACUCAAUAAUUAUCAGGACUCAGUUCACAAACCUUGACAACACAUGCUGUUGCAUCAGUUAUGGUAACAGCAUAUGAAGCUGAGACCCCCUAGAAAAUGCGAGAAUUGUAUGAAACAUCUUGUUUACACUUUACUCCAAGCGUUCAGCAUUCAGAAUGAAAGUACUUCCUGAGUGGAGUCCCUCAAGGGUUGGUAGAGGGACCAAAUCUAUUUAAUAUCUUCAUCAGUUACACAAACAGUAGGAUUGAGUACAACCGCAGCAAGUUUGGAUGUGAUACCUGAUACACUUGAAAGAAGGACCCACAAGAACAUCAUGAAGUUCAACAAGUCCAAGUAUGAGGCCUUGCACCUGUGACAGGGUGAUCUUCAACAUUAAUAUAGUCUGGGAGAUGAAGAGAUUGAGAGCAGCCCUUUGGAGAACGGAUGAAAAAUUGGACGUGAGGCAACAAUGUGAACUCACAGCCCAGAAAACCAAUUGUAUCCUGGGCUGCAUCAAAAGAAACGUGUCCAGUAGGUCAAGGGAGAUAGUUGUCCCUCUCUACUUUGCUUUCAUGAGACCCGACUUGGAGUGCUGCAUCCAGCUCUGAGGUCCUUGGAACAAGAAAGACAUGGACCUGUCAGUGCAGAUCCAGAGGAGGGCUGCAAAAAUGUUCAAAGGGCUGGAACACUUUGCCUGUUAGGGAAUAUUGAGAGAAUUGGAGUUGUUUGGUGUAGAGAAGAGAGGCUCUGGGGAGACUUAUAGCACCUUCCAGUACCUAAAGGAGGUUUAUAAGAUAGAUGGAGAAAGAGCUUUGACCAAAGUUGGCAGGACAAGUGACGGGAGAAGGGUUUUUGCUACAAGACUGAGUUCUUAAAACAAACAAAAAAUAAAAGUAAUGCAAGCCUAUUAACUGUCGUGAGAACUCUUUCCUUAAAAAAAAGAGUGAAUUUACGACCCUUUUGUGAUCUUAGGAAACUCAUUUGAAUUCUGUGGAUGAAAUCUUGGCCUUAUUCAUUGAGGUCAAAUUACUGUUGAGUUUAGGAUUCUUUUUCAGCAACCAACUUCAUCUGCAUGCUGGAGAUAAAAUUAAUUCUGCACAUUAUUAAUUUAUUCAAUUUAUGAAAGCCAGUAGUAACUGUUCACACCAGGUAUAGCAUGCAAUUGCAAAAAUUAACAUUGCAAAUUAUGUGUCAGUG